This 460-nucleotide ribosomal RNA is filed under the name uncultured bacterium. RNAcentral's name for it is "SSU rRNA". It matches the Rfam family "Bacterial small subunit ribosomal RNA", at positions 26 to 518 of the family's 1533-position model. The record is from RNAcentral.
AGAGCGAACGCUGGCGGCAGGCCUAAUACAUGCAAGUCGAACGGAUCCUUCGGGAUUAGUGGCGGACGGGUGAGUAACACGUGGGAACGUGCCCUUUGGUUCGGAACAACUCAGGGAAACUUGAGCUAAUACCGAAUGAGCCCCCAUCCUUAAACAAGAUGGGUGGGAAAGAUUUAUCGUCAUUGGAGCGGCCCGCGUCUGAUUAGCUAGUUGGUGGGGUAAAGCCCACCAAGGCGACGAUCAGUAGCUGGUCUGAGAGGAUGAUCAGCCACACUGGGACUGAGACACGGCCCAGACUCCUACGGGAGGCAGCAGUAGGGAAUCUUGCGCAAUGGGCGAAAGCCUGACGCAGCCAUGCCGCGUGAAUGAUGAAGGUCUUAGGAUUGUAAAAUUCUUUCAGCGGGGACGAUAAUGACGGUACCCGCAGAAGAAGCCCGGCUAACUUCGCGCCAGCAGCCGC